This 506-nucleotide ribosomal RNA is filed under the name uncultured bacterium. RNAcentral's name for it is "partial 16S ribosomal RNA". It matches the Rfam family "Bacterial small subunit ribosomal RNA", at positions 29 to 523 of the family's 1533-position model. The record is from RNAcentral.
AUUGAACGCUGGCGGCAGGCCUAACACAUGCAAGUCGAACGGCAGCACAGAAGAGCUUGCUCUUUGGGUGGCGAGUGGCGGACGGGUGAGUAAUGUCUGGGAAACUGCCCGAUGGAGGGGGAUAACUACUGGAAACGGUAGCUAAUACCGCAUAACGUCGCAAGACCAAAGUGGGGGACCUUCGGGCCUCACACCAUCGGAUGUGCCCAGAUGGGAUUAGCUAGUAGGUGGGGUAAUGGCUCACCUAGGCGACGAUCCCUAGCUGGUCUGAGAGGAUGACCAGCCACACUGGAACGGAGACACGGUCCAGACUGCUACGGGAGGCAGCAGUGGGGAAUAUUGCACAAUGGGCGCAAGCCUGAUGCAGCCAUGCCGCGUGUAUGAGGAAGGCCUUCGGGUUGUAAAGUACUUUCAGCGGGGAGGAAGGCGGUGAGGUUAAUAACCUCGCCGAUUGACGUUACCCGCAGAAGAAGCACCGGCUAACUCCGUGCCAGCCGCCGCGGUAA